GACGACGUUGAUAGGCCGGGUGUGUAAGCGCAGCGAUGCGUUGAGCUAACCGGUACUAAUGAACCGUGAGGCUUAACCUUACAACGCCGAAG
RNAcentral lists this ribosomal RNA (92 nucleotides) under Escherichia coli. RNAcentral describes it as "partial 23S ribosomal RNA". The stretch from base 1 to 80 matches the Rfam family "Bacterial large subunit ribosomal RNA", at positions 2846 to 2925 of the family's 2925-position model. RNAcentral also lists the same sequence under 14 other names. Lineage: Bacteria; Pseudomonadati; Pseudomonadota; Gammaproteobacteria; Enterobacterales; Enterobacteriaceae. The record is from RNAcentral.